This 30-nucleotide non-coding RNA is filed under the name Cricetulus griseus (Chinese hamster). Lineage: Eukaryota; Metazoa; Chordata; Mammalia; Rodentia; Cricetidae. The record is from RNAcentral.
AGUAAAAACCCUGAGACAGUAUGGAAAAGG